RNAcentral lists this transfer RNA (72 nucleotides) under Marmota marmota marmota (Alpine marmot). It matches the Rfam family "tRNA". Rfam says of the family: Transfer RNA (tRNA) molecules are approximately 80 nucleotides in length. RNAcentral also lists the same sequence under 1 other name. Lineage: Eukaryota; Metazoa; Chordata; Mammalia; Rodentia; Sciuridae. The record is from Rfam by way of RNAcentral.
UGGGAUGUGGCUCAGUGGUGGAGCGCUUGCUUAGCAUGCAUGAGGCACUGGGUUCGAUUCACAGCACCACAG